GGGCGCAAGCGGGCGCAAGCCUGAUCCAGCAAUGCCGCGUGCAGGAUGAAGGCCUUCGGGUUGUAAACUGCUUUUGUACGGAACGAAAAGGCUUGGGCUAAUACCUGGGGCGGAUGACGGUACCGUAAGAAUAAGCACCGGCUAACUACGUGCCAGCAGCCGCGGUAAUACGUAGGGUGCGAGCGUUAAUCGGAAUUACUGGGCGUAAAGCGUGCGCAGGCGGUUUUGUAAGACAGAUGUGAAAUCCCCGGGCUUAACCUGGGAACUGCAUUUGUGACUGCAAGGCUGGAGUACGGCAGAGGGGGAUGGAAUUCCGCGUGUAGCAGUGAAAUGCGUAGAUAUGCGGAGGAACACCGAUGGCGAAGGCAAUCCCCUGGGCCUGUACUGACGCUCAUGCACGAAAGCGUGGGGAGCAAACAGGAUUAGAUACCCUGGUAGUCCACGCCCUAAACGAUGUCAACUGGUUGUUGGGCCAUCAGAGAUUCAUUAACGAAGCUAACGCGUGAAGUUGACCGCCUGGGGAGUACAGCCGCAAGGUUG
RNAcentral lists this ribosomal RNA (540 nucleotides) under uncultured Pseudomonadota bacterium. Its description in RNAcentral is "bacterial SSU rRNA". It matches the Rfam family "Bacterial small subunit ribosomal RNA", at positions 366 to 896 of the family's 1533-position model. Lineage: Bacteria; Pseudomonadati; Pseudomonadota. The record is from RNAcentral.